This 250-nucleotide ribosomal RNA is filed under the name uncultured bacterium. RNAcentral describes it as "partial 16S ribosomal RNA". It matches the Rfam family "Bacterial small subunit ribosomal RNA", at positions 525 to 775 of the family's 1533-position model. The record is from RNAcentral.
ACGUAGGUGGCGAGCGUUAUCCGGAAUGAUUGGGCGUAAAGGGUGCGUAGGUGGCGGAACAAGUCUGGAGUAAAAGGUAUGGGCUCAACCCGUACUGGCUCUGGAAACUGUUCAGCUAGAGAACAGAAGAGGACGGCGGAACUCCAUGUGUAGCGGUAAAAUGCGUAGAUAUAUGGAAGAACACCGGUGGCGAAGGCGGCCGUCUGGUCUGUUGCUGACACUGAAGCACGAAAGCGUGGGGAGCAAAUAG